Molecule: long non-coding RNA, 669 nt
Organism: Bufo gargarizans (Asiatic toad)
Lineage: Eukaryota; Metazoa; Chordata; Amphibia; Anura; Bufonidae
Exons: 3
Source: RefSeq, a predicted model, not a curated record
AAUGCUUAUUACUUAACCAAUUAAUUAUAAUCUGGUUAAUCCAAUUUAUUCUCAAAUAUAAAUAAGUAAAUAUUUAAACCAAUAAACCAUAUAACACUCAGUCCACUCAGAGAGUGACUUAACCCCACAACGCCACAUAAAAACAAGUGGCCCAAUAAACAUUGCAAGCCUUUAAUAAAAACCAUUAUCAAUUAUGUUCUGCAAAUCUGAAAUGAAUAUAUCACAUCCAAUAUCAGAAAGCUGAUCAUCCUUUUCUUGGUAAAGUCCUCUAACGAAUCCUUCUAAUUCAACAUGUCUGUAAUUGCCAUGACCAAUUUCCUUCAAAUAAAUCUCCAUUUUUUUAUUAAUUCUUUUCCUAAUUGUUUCCAGAAAGGAUAACUCAGAAUUGAACCAAGAAAAUUUUGGGAUGAUGUCAGAAAAUACGAGUACAACACCAUCAAAUAACGCAUUUUCAACUAGAAUGCAACCUGGACCCACAAAUUCAGGUUCUCAAACUGGCAGUUAAAGUGAUCUCCAAUCAAAUUUGAAGAUAUCAGCGCAAGCACCCACAGCAUCUGGGUUAACCCAUUCUUCACAUAGGUAAGUAAAUAAUAUAAUCAACAUAUUAACUGUAAUGUUAGGUGCCAUGUCAUCAUGGCUCACCACACUGAAUUUAUCAGUAUGGUUCGC